UGUGCAAACAGCAGGCCAGAAGCUUGCUUCUUAGAAUCCUAAUAUCUAAGUGGUGGGUGGAGAAAGAGGACAGGCCAAAGGACAGUGAGAAGGGGCUGAGAAGCAGAAGGAAACUCAGCAGAGAGUGAGAUGGAGAAUGUCAUCAUUCAGGGAUUCCUAAAUUUCACUUUGGGAAAACCCCCAAUUCUUUAUAUUUAUUCCCAGGCAGACUGAAAUGCUGGUAAUGCAGAUAAAAUUUUCCCUAUUGCUUCACCGUAGAAUCCUUUUACUGGAAAACAAACCAACUGGGUGGGCUAUGGGAACAGAUACAUGAGUUCUCCUCUCUGCUAAUUUAACCAACCACACUGACUCCCAUCACAGAACCGCACAAACAAGCCAGAAACCAAACCCUACCACGAACCCCUGGUGUAUGAAGGGAGCCUAGCUCUGGCUGACUCUGCUUGUAUUCGUAGACACUUUGCCUCAUUGGUUCCUGCCUCAGCUUCCAAUCUGGACAUGGAGCACAGUAACAGUGCGUGCGCUUGAAGGGAGUGUCCGGUGCAGGCAUGCAGGGAGGAAGAAUGACUCUGAGCUUGACCACUCAACUUCGAAACUUUAACAAUCAAUGGAUCAACACACACUGGUGUACGGUCUGCUGUGCAUGCAGCCCUGUGCUAGGCAAAAGAAGUAUCAGAGCAGGAACUGACAGUCUCUCUGCAACAGGAAGACAGGCUUCACACAAUAAGCAUUUCAUUCAACCAGGCUAGACCCCUGCUUAUUGAGUUGAACAUCACCGAGCACAAAAUGCAAGCCAGAUAUCAUAAGAGCUGUAAGGAUGAUAAAGACGUCUCUCCGCCCUCGAGAGCUCUAAGUGUGGUGGUCGGGAGAGAAACACACAGAAGGAUUAUGCUGGCUGGAGGGAAAUGCUGGAAUGAAGGUGGAAGGUACAUCCAGAAUGUUCUGGGGGUGAGGAAUAGCAAAUGAUGGGUUCUGACUUAGAACACGAAGGGAAGGUAUUAAGAGGUGAUAUUAAGCAUUUAUUGAGCAUCUCUACCUUUUUUGUAUAUGUGACCUUGUCUGGAAAUAGAGUAUCUCUUCUUGAUGCUGGCAA
Long non-coding RNA from Rhinopithecus roxellana (golden snub-nosed monkey), 1090 nucleotides. RefSeq lists it as uncharacterized. The transcript is spliced from 2 exons. The record is from RefSeq and is a predicted model, not a curated record. NCBI's taxonomy places the organism in Eukaryota, Metazoa, Chordata, Mammalia, Primates, Cercopithecidae.